UACGUAGGGUGCGAGCGUUGUCCGGAAUUAUUGGGCGUAAAGGGCUCGUAGGCGGUUUGUCGCGUCGGGAGUGAAAACCCAGGGCUUAACCCUGGGCUGGCUUCCGAUACGGGCAGACUAGAGGUAUGCAGGGGAGAACGGAAUUCCUGGUGUAGCGGUGAAAUGCGCAGAUAUCAGGAGGAACACCGGUGGCGAAGGCGGUUCUCUGGGCAUUACCCGACGCUGAGGAGCGAAAGUGUGGGGAGCGAACAGG
RNAcentral lists this ribosomal RNA (253 nucleotides) under uncultured bacterium. RNAcentral describes it as "partial 16S ribosomal RNA". It matches the Rfam family "Bacterial small subunit ribosomal RNA", at positions 524 to 776 of the family's 1533-position model. The record is from RNAcentral.